UUCCUUCCAUCUUCAUCACCUUGAGCAUCUUCUGGGCAGCUGAGGUGGCCGCAGAUGGGAAGGAA
This 65-nucleotide microRNA precursor is filed under the name Pongo abelii (Sumatran orangutan). Its description in RNAcentral is "miRNA". The record is from RNAcentral. Lineage: Eukaryota; Metazoa; Chordata; Mammalia; Primates; Hominidae.